Molecule: ribosomal RNA, 277 nt
Filed under: uncultured bacterium
Lineage: Bacteria
Description: partial 16S ribosomal RNA
Rfam family: Bacterial small subunit ribosomal RNA
Source: RNAcentral
GAUAAACGCUGGCGGCGUGCCUAACACAUGCAAGUCGAACGCCCUACGCGAAGCGCAGGGAGUGGCGGACGGGUGAGUAUCACGUGGGUUAUCUACCCUGGGGUGAGGAAUACCGGCGAGAAAUCGCCGACAAGACCGCAUAGGUUUCGCGAGAAACAAAGCCGAAAGGCGCCACGGGAGGAGCCUGCGCCCGAUUAGCCGGUUGGUGGGGUAAUGGCCUACCAAAGCCACGAUCGGUCGCUGGUCUGAGAGGAUGAUCAGCCACACUGGGAUUGAG